Molecule: transfer RNA, 80 nt
Filed under: Blumeria hordei DH14
Lineage: Eukaryota; Fungi; Ascomycota; Leotiomycetes; Helotiales; Erysiphaceae
Description: tRNA-Gly for anticodon GCC
Rfam family: tRNA
About the family: Transfer RNA (tRNA) molecules are approximately 80 nucleotides in length. Their secondary structure includes four short double-helical elements and three loops (D, anti-codon, and T loops).
Source: RNAcentral
GCAUCAGUGGUUUAGUGGUAAAAUCCAUCGUUGCCAUCGUUCGUUUCGAUGGGCCCCGUGUUCGAUUCACGGCUGAUGCA